UAUAAGUUAAGCAAUUGAAUGAUGUGAGAGUUCUCUGAAUCAUUCUAAUUUCUUCUACUUAUUAUUAUGCUUCCACUAUGAAUUUCAAUCUUUAGUUUCUUCUAAGAAACUCAGAGAAUAUAUGAGAUUAGAUUUCCAAAAGGAAAAAUAAUAAUAACAAUCAAAAAUUCAAAAUAAAAGCAGUUUUCUUCAUCUACAAAAGGAAGGUCAUUAUGAGAUUCAUACCUGUUGAGGGACAUUUUCUGAUCAUAUUUUAGGUACACUCAUAAUAAGGUAA
Non-coding RNA from Arachis ipaensis, 277 nucleotides. The record is from RefSeq and is a predicted model, not a curated record. NCBI's taxonomy places the organism in Eukaryota, Viridiplantae, Streptophyta, Magnoliopsida, Fabales, Fabaceae.